RNAcentral lists this transfer RNA (77 nucleotides) under Treponema bryantii. RNAcentral's name for it is "tRNA_Ala_TGC". It matches the Rfam family "tRNA". Rfam says of the family: Transfer RNA (tRNA) molecules are approximately 80 nucleotides in length. Lineage: Bacteria; Pseudomonadati; Spirochaetota; Spirochaetia; Treponematales; Treponemataceae. The record is from RNAcentral.
GGGGAAUUAGCUCAGCUGGCUAGAGCAUCGGCUUUGCAAGCCGAGGGUCAGGGGUUCGAACCCCCUAUUCUCCAUCA